Molecule: small nuclear RNA, 145 nt
Filed under: Chlorocebus sabaeus (green monkey)
Lineage: Eukaryota; Metazoa; Chordata; Mammalia; Primates; Cercopithecidae
Description: U2 spliceosomal RNA
Rfam family: U2 spliceosomal RNA
About the family: U2 is a small nuclear RNA (snRNA) component of the spliceosome (involved in pre-mRNA splicing). Complementary binding between U2 snRNA (in an area lying towards the 5' end but 3' to hairpin I) and the branchpoint sequence (BPS) of the intron results the bulging out of an unpaired adenosine, on the BPS, which initiates a nucleophilic attack at the intronic 5' splice site, thus starting the first of two transesterification reactions that mediate splicing.
Source: Rfam by way of RNAcentral
AUCGUUUCUUGGCGUUUUGGCUAAGACCAAGUGUAGAUCUGUUCUUAUCAGUUUAAUAAGGUAAUACGGUUUUGGCUAAGACCAAGUGUAGAUCUGUUCUUAUCAGUUUAAUAAGGUAAUACGAUACAGUACUAACCUAACCUAU